Molecule: ribosomal RNA, 315 nt
Filed under: uncultured eukaryote
Lineage: Eukaryota
Description: partial 18S ribosomal RNA
Rfam family: Eukaryotic small subunit ribosomal RNA
Source: RNAcentral
CCCUUAGACGUUCUGGGCCGCACGCGCGCUACACUGACCAGUGCAACAAGCAUCCGUCCUUGGCCGACAGGCCCGGGCAAUCUUUGAACGCUGGUCGUGAUGGGGAUAGACUUUUGCAAUUUUUGGUCUUCAACGAGGAAUUCCUAGUAAACGCAAGUCAUCAAAUUGCAUUGAUUACGUCCCUGCCCUUUGUACACACCGCCCGUCGCACCUACCGAUUGAAUGGUCCGGUGAAGCCUCCGGAUUGGCGCGCACCUCGGUGCCGCCGAGAAGUUGGCUAAACCUUACCAUUUAGAGGAAGGUGAAGUCGUAACA